GGCUCUUUGGCGUCGUGGUCAAAGCUGCAGUUUGGUACCCUGUUAGACCCGGGUUCGAGGCCGGGUGGGGUGA
RNAcentral lists this transfer RNA (73 nucleotides) under Megalops atlanticus (tarpon). RNAcentral's name for it is "tRNA-OTHER". Lineage: Eukaryota; Metazoa; Chordata; Actinopteri; Elopiformes; Megalopidae. The record is from RNAcentral.